GUUUCGGUGGUCAUAGCGGGAGGGAAACGCCCGGUUACUUCCCGAACCCGGAAGCUAAGCCUCACAGCGCCAAUGGUACUGCAGG
Molecule: ribosomal RNA, 85 nt
Filed under: Streptacidiphilus carbonis
Lineage: Bacteria; Bacillati; Actinomycetota; Actinomycetes; Kitasatosporales; Streptomycetaceae
Also listed under: 1 other name
Source: RNAcentral